RNAcentral lists this transfer RNA (72 nucleotides) under Fusarium mangiferae. It matches the Rfam family "tRNA". Rfam says of the family: Transfer RNA (tRNA) molecules are approximately 80 nucleotides in length. Their secondary structure includes four short double-helical elements and three loops (D, anti-codon, and T loops). RNAcentral also lists the same sequence under 17 other names. The record is from RNAcentral. Lineage: Eukaryota; Fungi; Ascomycota; Sordariomycetes; Hypocreales; Nectriaceae.
GGGGCGCUGGCGCAACGGUAGCGCGUCAGAUUCCAGUCCUGAAGGUUAUCGGUUCAAAUCCGGUGUGCCUCA